GGGCUUAGAUGAUGGGCC
Molecule: non-coding RNA, 18 nt
Filed under: Arabidopsis thaliana (thale cress)
Lineage: Eukaryota; Viridiplantae; Streptophyta; Magnoliopsida; Brassicales; Brassicaceae
Source: RNAcentral